Molecule: long non-coding RNA, 1014 nt
Filed under: Mytilus galloprovincialis (Mediterranean mussel)
Lineage: Eukaryota; Metazoa; Mollusca; Bivalvia; Mytilida; Mytilidae
Source: RNAcentral
CCAAAACACAAAAACUUAACUAUAACCACUGAACCAUGAAAAUGAGGUCAAGGUCAGAUGAUACCUGCCAGUUGGACAUGUACACCUUCCAGUCCUUCCAUACACCAAAUAUACUAGCCCUAUUGCUUAUAGUAUCUGAGAUAUGGACUUGACCACCAAAACUUAACCUUGUUCACUGAUCCAUGAAAUGAGGUCGAGGUCAAGCAGGGAUCUCCAUGGAUGAAAAUUGAACCAUGGAGGAACUUUCACCAUUACAAACCGUGUCUACGUUGUACAGUGUAGCGCGAUCGGAAGUAUUUUAUCCCUCCAUACAAGGAAUGGUGAACAUGCUAAUUCAUUGCUUAUUUAAAUUAUAUUUAUUUGAAUUUUCAUUUUAGAAUUAGAAGUAUCAAUAUUUUCAUUUAUUGCCGUUUUUAACCAUUCAAAUGCCAAGUCUGCAUGGUCCCCCCUUAGUCGAGAAUGACCAAAAGCUGUCAUGAAGGUCCCCAUGUAGAUUUCUUGUAUUUUUGGUAAUUGUUAUGGGGGUUAAAAAUCAUAUGAUGUGGAGCUUAUUUUUCAUGGACACUGUCAAAUUCAGAACCCAUUACCGGUAUGGCUGAUUUGCAGCAACAACAAAACGAUUCGUACGGGUUAUAUAAAAGGUUAAAGAGAUUUGUAAAGCAAACGUUGACAAAUGAAAAGGUUUUUAAUGACUUUAUCUGGCAAAUUGAUGCUGUGCAACAUGUAUCUUUCGAGUCUGAAUAGAAACCGGAAACGCGGAUGUAUCAAUUUUAUUACAUUAAAUACCUCACCUUCAUAAAUUUAGAUAUCAGUCCACUCGCUGCAUUAUUCAACCGGAAACCAGCCAGAAAAAGAAACCAUGACCCCGUGACAACCUCUCCCACCUGACACCUGUGUGUCCUAAACCUUCAUCAUUUUUUCCGGUUCUACAACGCAUGCUGCACGUUUUUUUGUGGAGGAGGAAAAAGUUUAUUUUUUCACAAACAGUUUAACAAGUUGAUAAUUUAUAUAUUU